This 65-nucleotide transfer RNA is filed under the name Ixodes scapularis (black-legged tick). It matches the Rfam family "tRNA". From Rfam's summary of the family: Transfer RNA (tRNA) molecules are approximately 80 nucleotides in length. Their secondary structure includes four short double-helical elements and three loops (D, anti-codon, and T loops). The record is from Rfam by way of RNAcentral. Lineage: Eukaryota; Metazoa; Arthropoda; Arachnida; Ixodida; Ixodidae.
GCCUGGGCUGGUAGAGCGCUCCACUAAAAAUGGAGAGGUCCCGGGCUCGAUACCCGGACCAGGCG